This is a long non-coding RNA of Manis pentadactyla (Chinese pangolin), 935 nucleotides long. RefSeq lists it as uncharacterized. Lineage: Eukaryota; Metazoa; Chordata; Mammalia; Pholidota; Manidae. The record is from RefSeq and is a predicted model, not a curated record. The transcript is spliced from 4 exons.
UGGGGAGCAUAAGACAGUGGGGACAGUGUCUGGGGAGGCAGUACGCUGGAGGGCUGGAGCAUGGAGAUGUCCGGCUGCCCGAGAUGCUGGAACCUGUUUUGCAGAAGCAAGAACUUCAAAAGGCAGUGGGCUGUGCUCUGAAGGAGGGCAAGUGCUAUGUUCAUGGUUGGUGACCCAGCAGUGACAGAGCCAGAAGGGGGUUCCUGAUCAUUCAUGGACCAGAGGAGCAAGAAACAAAGCUUUGGCAACCCACCCCAGGGCCUCCUGUUACAGAAAAGCCUGACAAUCAGAGUCGUGUUUGAGUCCACCUGGCUCCAAGCCUGGGCUGUUCAACGAGGGACACUGACUUAAAUGUCCCAGGUGUGGAGCCUGGGUCUGGUCCCAACCUUGCACCUAACUCCAGGUGACCUUGGCUGAUCCCUUCUCUGGGCCUCGGUUUCUCUGUCUGUAGAGGAGGCAGAGUAAAGAAGACCUUAAGGGCCCUUGGAGCUUGAACGGCUCCCUGAUUCUGUGUCAAUUUGGGGUUAGAAACCCCCUGACAUCCCAGAAUUCCCUUCAUGGCUACCGUCAGUGACAGAAGCACAAAUUCAGCUCAGUGUUUAUUGACUUGGCUUAUAACUUCAGCUCCCUUUCAGGGAAUGAGCUCAAGGAAGCUGUAUGCCAGCAGCCAUUGACGGAGCCUAAAUCAUUAGGGAGAAAAUUAGAGUUCGGGGAUGAAGGUGCUGUUUUGCCUCUUACUUCUGCCCUCUCCUCCUCGUUCCACUCACCAAGCAGCACGGACCCCCUCUGGCAGAUGCUGGAGUGGGGGAGGGCAGUCAUGUGUUUGCAACUUACAGGUAAGACAGUCACCUAUUUCCAGAAGACACUGGCUUCUGAUAACUGGAAGGAAAAUGAGACUUCUUUACAACCACAGUCAUCAACAAAAGGGUCUGAGG